This 1537-nucleotide ribosomal RNA is filed under the name metagenome. RNAcentral describes it as "SSU rRNA". It matches the Rfam family "Eukaryotic small subunit ribosomal RNA", at positions 3 to 1351 of the family's 1831-position model. The record is from RNAcentral.
CCUGGUUGAUCCUGCCAGUAGUCAUAUGCUUGUUUCAAGGAUUAAGCCAUGCAAGUCUCAGAGUAAAUGGAUUGACAGUGGGUCUGCAGACGGCUCAUUAAAUCGGUGGCAAUCUACGCGGGGAAGGUGCCUUAUGGGCCCAGGUGGAUAACAAUGGUAACUCCAUUGCUAAUACAUGUCCGAAAAAUCUUACUUGCAUCAACCUCAUGGAGUAAAAUCUGUGGGGGCAGGGAAGAUACAGUUGACCGAAAUAGAACCAACGCUAGCAAUAGCAGCGGUGAGUGGAUGAAACAGGUCAACCGAGUGAUAGCACACGACCUCGUGUCGGUGCAAGCCCGCAAGAGCUUCUGCCCUAUCAGCUUUUGACGGUAGUGUAGUGGACUACCGUGGCUGUAACGGGUAACGGGGAAUUAGGGUUCGAUUCCGGAGAGGGAGCCUGAGAAACGGCUACCACAUCUAAGGAUGGCAGCAGGCGCGCAAAUUGCCCAAUAGCAACACUGCUGAGGCAGCGAAGAGAAAUAGCAACUUCUCGUACUUUGUACGAAGGAGAUUGCAAUGGAUGAUAUCUAAACCUGUCAAUGAGUAUCAAUUGGUGGACAAGUCUGGUGCCAGCACCCGCGGUAAUUCCAGCACCAAUAGCGUAUAUUAAUGCUGCUGCUGUUAAAAAGCUCGUAGUUGGAUCCAGAGUACAGGUUGCAAGGCGGCUCAGUUUGGGUAAACCGGCGUACUGCCGGGAUGCACAGGUUGGGGUAAACCCCUUGCACCAAGACCUGUCCUCUAUGAACGGUGGUAAUGGUGCCUUGCAAGUAGCCAUUUCGGUGGUGAAAGCGCCAACGUGUUAACCAUACGCAUACGGGUCGACCACCGAUGUUACUGUGAACAAACCAGCGUGCCCAAAGCAGGCGUCCGCCGUGAAUGAUAGAGCAUGGAAUAACAAGGGAUCGAUUCUCUCGGCUCUUUUUGUUGGUUCUUAACCCGAGAAGGAAUAAUCAAAACGAUGUUCUUAGCAUGUCUCUUUGAGGCGUGUUUAAGUCAUCGCUACACGGGAUCAAUAGGGACUGCCGGGGUCGUACGUACUCCUAUGUCAGAGGUGAAAUUCUUAGAUCGUAGGAAGACGAACUUCUGCGAAAGCAUUCGACAAGAAUGUCUUCAUUAAUCAAGAACGAGAGUGUGGGGAUCGAAGAUGAUCAGAUACCGUCGUAGUCCACUACUGUAAACGAUGCCGUCUCAGGAUCGAGGGAUGCUCAACCAUGACUCCCACGGCACUACCCCGAAACGAGAAAUCAAAGAUUAUGGGUUCAGGGGGGUGUACAUUCGCAAGGCUGAAACUUAAAGGAAUUGACGGAAUGACACCACCAGGCGUGGAGUAUGCGGCUUAAUUUGACACAACACGGGGAAUUUUACUAGGUCAGGACAAUGUAAGGAUUGACAGAUUGAGAGCUCUUUCUCGAUCCAUUGUGUGGUGGUGCAUGGCCGCUCCUGGUUGGUGGAGUGAUUUGUCUGGUUGAUUCCGUUAACGAACGAGAUCUCGACCCUU